Molecule: ribosomal RNA, 108 nt
Filed under: Leuconostoc mesenteroides
Lineage: Bacteria; Bacillati; Bacillota; Bacilli; Lactobacillales; Lactobacillaceae
Also listed under: 4 other names
Source: RNAcentral
GAUAGCAUAGAGGACACACCUGUUCCCAUACCGAACACAGAAGUUAAGCUCUAUAGCGCCGAAAGUAGUUGGAGGAUCGCUUCCUGCGAGGAUAGGACGAUGCGGUGC